GAUGAAGAACGCAGCUAAAUGCGAUAACUAAUGUGAAUUGCAGAAUUCCGUGAAUCAUCGAGUCUUUGAACGCACAUUGCGCCCCCUGGUAUUCCGGGGGGCAUGCCUGUCCGAGCGUCAUUGCUGCCCAUCAAGCACGGCUUGUGUGUUGGGUCCUCGUCCCCCCCGGGGGACGUGCCCGAAAGGCAGCGGCGGCACCGCGUCCGGUCCUCGAGCGUAUGGGGCUUUGUCACCCGCUCUGCAGGCCCGGCCGGCGCUGGCCGACGCGAAAGCAACCAUUUUUUCUCCAGGUUGACCUCGGAUCAGGUAGGGAUACCCGCUGAACUUAAGCAUAUCAAUAAGCGGAGGA
RNAcentral lists this unclassified non-coding RNA (349 nucleotides) under soil metagenome. RNAcentral describes it as "partial contains 5.8S ribosomal RNA, internal transcribed spacer 2, and large subunit ribosomal RNA". The stretch from base 1 to 120 matches the Rfam family "5.8S ribosomal RNA", at positions 35 to 154 of the family's 154-position model. The record is from RNAcentral.